This 266-nucleotide long non-coding RNA is filed under the name Panax ginseng (ginseng). RNAcentral's name for it is "long non-coding RNA (PGIN_LNC008731)". The record is from RNAcentral. Lineage: Eukaryota; Viridiplantae; Streptophyta; Magnoliopsida; Apiales; Araliaceae.
CCCUUAUGACUUCAGUGCAUUUUUACUUCCUGUCAAUACUUCAAUAUUAAUUCAUCUGGAAAAAUGUACAAAACCCCUUCAAGGAUUCAACUCAAAUUGUUAAUUAACAAUUAAGCAUGUCAUAUAACAGAUAAGGUGAGGUUAAAGAAUGAGGCAUUCCGAACUCAACACUUAGAAAAAAUUUAGGUAAUAAAGUAAAGAGAUACUUAUUCAGUUACCGAAGUGUAAGACAGAUCUGCUUCAUCGAGAGUUUGUUUACCCCGAAA